GAUGAACGCUGGCGGCGUGCCUAAUACAUGCAAGUCGAACGAACUUAACUUAAUGAUUGAAGUGCUUGCACUGAUUGAUUUAAGAGCGGUGAGUGGCGGAUGGGUGAGUAACACGUGGGUAACCUACCUUCUAGCGGGGGAUAACAUCUGGAAACAGGUGCUAAUACCGCAUAAAUCUUGAAACCACAUGGUUUCAAGCUGAAAGGCGGCUUCGGCUGUCACUAGAAGAUGGACCCGCGGCGCAUUAGUUAGUUGGUGAGGUAAUGGCCCACCAAGACGAUGAUGCGUAGCCGACCUGAGAGGGUGAUCGGCCACAUUGGGACUGAGACACGGCCCAAACUCCUACGGGAGGCAGCAGUAGGGAAUCUUCCACAAUGGACGAAAGUCUGAUGGAGCAACGCCGCGUGAGUGAAGAAGGUUUUAGGAUCGUAAAGCUCUGUUGUUGGAGAAGAACACAGGUGAGAGUAACUGUUCAUCUGUUGACGGUAUCCAACCAGAAAGCCACGGCUAACUACGUGCCAGCCGCCGCAGUAAAAC
This 537-nucleotide ribosomal RNA is filed under the name uncultured bacterium. RNAcentral's name for it is "bacterial SSU rRNA". It matches the Rfam family "Bacterial small subunit ribosomal RNA", at positions 28 to 526 of the family's 1533-position model. The record is from RNAcentral.